UGGGGAAUUUUGGACAAUGGACGCAAGUCUGAUCCAGCCAUGCCGCGUGCGGGAAGAAGGCCUUCGGGUUGUAAACCGCUUUUGUCAGGGAAGAAACGAGUUUCUCUAAUACAGAGACUUAAUGACGGUACCGUAAGAAUAAGCACCGGCUAACUACGUGCCAGCAGCCGCGGUCAUACGUUGGGUGCGAGCGUUAAUCGGAAUUACUGUGCGUAAAGCGUGCGCAGGCGGUUAUCUAAGACCGAUGUGAAAUCCCCGGGCUCAACCUGGGAACUGCCUUUGUGACUGCAUAGCUAGAGUACGGUAGAGGGAGAUGGAAUUCCGCGUGUAGCAGUGAAAUGCGUAGGUAUGCGGGAGAACACCGAUGGCGAAGGCAAUCCCCUGGACCUGUACUGACGCUCAUGCACGAAAGCGUGGGGAGCAAACA
This 427-nucleotide ribosomal RNA is filed under the name uncultured bacterium. RNAcentral describes it as "bacterial SSU rRNA". It matches the Rfam family "Bacterial small subunit ribosomal RNA", at positions 355 to 774 of the family's 1533-position model. The record is from RNAcentral.